This 468-nucleotide ribosomal RNA is filed under the name uncultured bacterium. RNAcentral's name for it is "partial 16S ribosomal RNA". It matches the Rfam family "Bacterial small subunit ribosomal RNA", at positions 28 to 507 of the family's 1533-position model. The record is from RNAcentral.
GACGAACGCUGGCGGCGUGCCUAACACAUGCAAGUCGAACGGAAAGGCCCUGCUUUUGUGGGGUGAUCGAGUGGCGAACGGGUGAGUAACACGUGAGUAACCUGCCCUAGACUUUCGGAUAACUUCACGAAACUAGACCUAAUACCGGAUCGGAGCCCCUGCUGCAUUGUGAGGGUGGGAAAGUCUCGGCGGUCGGGGAUGGAUGCGCGGGUUACCAGCUUGUUGGUGGGGUAGUGGCUUACCAACGCUUUGAAGGGUAGCCGGCCUGUGAGGGUGACCGGCGACCUUGGGACUGAGGUACGGCGCAGACGCCAACGUGAGGCAGCAGGGGGGAAUAUUGCCCAAUGAGACGAAGCGUGAUGCGGCAACGCCGCGUUCGUGAUGACGGUCUUCGGGUUGUAAACAGCUUUAGCCUGUGACGAAGCGGUAGUGACGGUAAUGGGUAAAUAAGCACCGGCUAACUACGUG